GAUGAACGCUAGCGGCAGGCCUAACACAUGCAAGUCGAGGGGUAGCAGGAUUAAGCUUGCUUAAUUGCUGACGACCGGCGCACGGGUGCGUAACGCGUAUGCAACCUACCUUAUACUGGGGUAUAGCCCGGAGAAAUUCGGAUUAAUCCCCCAUAGUACUAAUGAAUCGCAUGGUUUAUUAGUUAAAGCAUUGCGGUAUAAGAUGGGCAUGCGUCCUAUUAGCUAGAUGGUGAGGUAACGGCUCACCAUGGCUACGAUAGGUAGGGGGCCUGAGAUGGUGGUCCCCCACACGGGUACGGAGAAACGGCCCAGACUCCUACGGGAGGCAGCAGUGAGGAAUAUUGGUAAAUGGGCGCAAGCCUGAACCAGCCAUGCCGCGUGCAGGAAGAAUGCCCUAUGGGUUGUAAACUGCUUUUAUUUGGGAAUAAACCUCUUUACGUGUAGAGAGCUGAAGGUACCAAAUGAAUAAGCACCGGCUAACUCCGUGCCAGCCGCCGCCGUAA
This 503-nucleotide ribosomal RNA is filed under the name uncultured bacterium. Its description in RNAcentral is "partial 16S ribosomal RNA". It matches the Rfam family "Bacterial small subunit ribosomal RNA", at positions 28 to 523 of the family's 1533-position model. The record is from RNAcentral.